This 391-nucleotide small RNA is filed under the name Arabidopsis thaliana (thale cress). RNAcentral describes it as "ATSL193990". Lineage: Eukaryota; Viridiplantae; Streptophyta; Magnoliopsida; Brassicales; Brassicaceae. The record is from RNAcentral.
UAUGUAAUUAUUUAACUUCCACAUAUAUUUUAGGAAUUAGAGCAUUUUUCCGGGACCUAUGUUCGAGAACUUUACAGACAAGUCGCGUUCAAAUUCUCAAACAGAACAUAGUUUUAAUCAUCUGUAACUUGGAAAAGAUCUUUCCACCAUCAUUUUUCGAUGUUAUGGAACAUCUACCUAUCCAUCUCCCAUACGAAGCUGAAUUGGGUGGCCCUGUCCAAUAUAGGUGGAUGUAUCCAUUUGAGAGGUUUUUCAAAAAAUUGAAAGGAAAAGCAAAGAACAAAAGAUAUGCUGCAGGCUCAAUUGUUGAGUCAUAUAUCAAUGACGAGAUUGCUUAUUUUUCAGAGCACUACUUUGCCGAUCAUAUACAAACAAAAUCAAGGUAAAUACC